Molecule: long non-coding RNA, 1348 nt
Organism: Eptesicus fuscus (big brown bat)
Lineage: Eukaryota; Metazoa; Chordata; Mammalia; Chiroptera; Vespertilionidae
Exons: 5
Source: RefSeq, a predicted model, not a curated record
UCCUGGAAGAGGUGCCAGGCCUGAGCCAGGUGCGGAAGUCUGCCAGCCAAGCGGGGAGGAAAGGCAUUCUGUGUGUGGGUUGUAGGAGCUUGGGUUAAGAGGAAAGCACUGUAUCCUGGGGCAACUAUAAAUCUUAUACAGAUUAGUGUUACUACAAGAGCAGGGAUACAAGAAAAGAGCGUCUUCAGGUGGACAGGAUAGGUUUCAGAACUUUAUCUGCCAUGAUUUCCACCCCCUGAGGCUAUGGGAGGUGGAGCACAUCCUUUGAAAGAGGGUAGUAAUGGACAGCCCAUAUCAAAGUUGUGUGAGACAGUGCUGGAGCAAAGUUUUUGUCUGAGGAACACAUCAUCUGUGGCCUAGAAGUAAUGUUGCUAGAACCCUAUAAAGCCUCAUCAAUGAACAUUUGCCUUUCUUUUACCUAGUUGUAUAUGUAAUCUCCAAUAUUUAAAAACACACUUCCUACUAAUUUGUUCAUCUCAUUAAAUAGUACUGGUUUUAACCACAAUUCCCAUCUCCUUUUCCAUGAAAAAAAUAAAAGAAAAAAAAAAUAUGAACCAGGAAAUCUUUUAAAGAAAUUAAGAAGACAAAGAUAAAACCAAAAGUUUUCUAUUGGAGCUGCCUUAAAUUUUAACAGACUUAAAAGAGAGCUUCAUUAAUAUUAAUAAUCAAGUUUGUAACAUAUAUACAGUAAGAAAAGGUUAAAUGUUACAUUACACAGAUUUUCCACAGAUACUAGGAGAGUCGCCGUGAUUCAAUUUUGUCACAACAAAGUGAUUUCAAAGUGGUCUUUUCUGAGUUUUCUUGGAUGCUUGCAACUGGAACAUUUGGGGCUGAUGAGAGAGGAAGAGAGAACCAUGGAUGAGAGUAGUAUCAACAUCCACAGGCUGCCUCCUGCACGCCCCCUACUGGGGAUCAAGCCCACAACUCAGCAUGUGACGACCAGGAAUCUAAUUAUGGACCUCUUGAUUUGGAGCCCAAUCACUCAAAUUAUAAAGACAAGAGGAGCACACAGCUUCCAUAACCUUGAUUCACUGUCUUCACAGCAAUAAAGGGCAAGAAGCAAUAGCAAGCUCCAAAGCUGUAAUUCCACCCCACGAGAGGUAAAAAAUGAGGAAACUGGGCUGGUCAAAGGUGGUGGAUACUUUUCAUUCCUCCUAGUUUUAAAAGGCAAGUAAGUAGCCUUUAAAUGAACUCUUUGCCUUAACAAGGAAAACUGUACAUUAUACUUAAAGCCCGCGCUCCCUUGUAGCUAGUUCCAGAACAAAAGGUGUGUGUUCUGUAUGAUGAGACAGAGAAAACAUGGUUGAGGUGUGGCUUUGUGAAACUAUAAACAUCUCAGUCAUGUAAA